UACAGAGGGUGCGAGCGUUAAUCGGAAUUACUGGGCGUAAAGCGUGCGUAGACGGUUAUUUAAGUCGGGUGUGAAAGUCCUGGGCUUAACCUGGGGACUGCAUUUGAUACUGAUUGGCUUGAAUUCGGGAGAGGAUAGCGGAAUUCCCAGUGUAGAGGUGAAAUUCGUAGAUAUUGGGAAGAACACCGGUGGCGAAGGCGGCUAUCUGGACCGACAUUGACGCUGAGGCGCGAAAGCGUGGGGAGCAAACAGG
Molecule: ribosomal RNA, 253 nt
Filed under: uncultured bacterium
Lineage: Bacteria
Description: partial 16S ribosomal RNA
Rfam family: Bacterial small subunit ribosomal RNA
Source: RNAcentral